GACGAACGCUGGCGGCGUGCUUAACACAUGCAAGUCGAACGGAAAGGCCCCUUUCGGGGGGUUCUCGGGGGGGGAACGGGGAAGUAAAACGUGAGUAACCUGCCCCUUACUUUGGGGUAAAUUCAGGCAACUGGGGGUUAUACCCGAUAAGAGAUCCUGCUGGAUGGUGGGGGGUGGGAAGUUUUGGCGGGUGGGGGUGGGCUCGGGGCUUUUCGGCUUGGUGGUGGGGGAGUGGCGUAGCAAGGCGUUUACGGGUAGGCGGCCUGAGAGGGUGACCGGCCACAUUGGGACGGAGAUACGGCCCAGACUCCUACGGGAGGCAGCAGUGGGGAAUAUUGCACAAGGGGUGGAAGCCUGAUGCAGCAACGCCGUGGGCGGGAGGACGGCCUUCGGGUUGUAAACCGCUUUCGCUCAUGACGAAGCUUUGUGUGACGGUAGUGGGUAAAGAAGCACCGGCUAACUACGUG
This 467-nucleotide ribosomal RNA is filed under the name uncultured bacterium. RNAcentral describes it as "partial 16S ribosomal RNA". It matches the Rfam family "Bacterial small subunit ribosomal RNA", at positions 28 to 507 of the family's 1533-position model. The record is from RNAcentral.